UGAGGAAUAUUGCACAAUGGGCGCAAGCCUGAUGCAGUGACGCCGCGUGUGGGAUGAAGGGGCUACGCCUCGUAAACCACUGUAGCACGGGACGAAAAACGCCUUAGAGGCGUUAGACGGUACCGGGAAAGUAAGGGUCGGCUAACUACGUGCCAGCAGCCGCGGUAAUACGUAGGAACCAAGCGUUGUCCGGAUUUACUGGGUGUAAAGGGUGCGCAGGCGGAUGGGUAAGUCAGGGGUGAAAGUCUGCAGAUUAACUGUAGAAUGGCCUUUGAUACUGCGCAGCUUGAGUGUGGGAGAUGUGGUUGUAAUUCCAGUUGUAGCAGUGAAAUGGGUAGAUAUCUGGAAGAACACCAGUGGGGAAGGCGGUCAACUGGCCCAUAACUGACGCUCAUGCACGAAAGCGUGGGGAGCAAACA
This 419-nucleotide ribosomal RNA is filed under the name uncultured bacterium. Its description in RNAcentral is "bacterial SSU rRNA". It matches the Rfam family "Bacterial small subunit ribosomal RNA", at positions 355 to 774 of the family's 1533-position model. The record is from RNAcentral.